CGGUGCGGGGUAACGGGGUUAGAAUAGACGUACAGCCUCUAUGAAUCCUACAUCAAAACGAUGCCGCUUGGUUCGGGACCAAGAGGCCGCAGGUUCGAAUCCUGUCGCCCCGACCA
RNAcentral lists this transfer RNA (116 nucleotides) under Heliobacterium chlorum. Its description in RNAcentral is "tRNA-Pro". The record is from RNAcentral. Lineage: Bacteria; Bacillati; Bacillota; Clostridia; Eubacteriales; Heliobacteriaceae.